UGGAUCAGGAUAUCGAUCUGCAAUGAGGUAGUUGAAGCAUCCAGCACAAUGUACUGCAAAAAGGGUUACCUGAUAUAUAAAAUUUGUAAGUUAAAUAGUUGAAACGGAUAUCUUUCUCAAGCCUGACGCAAAGGGAAUAAUGAAGGAGAUAUAUUAAGAUUUUAUGCUGCUUCUUUAAAUGGGCGAGCUAACUCGUCUGAGACGCCAGAGCCUUAGCAUACUAAGAACUCUGAAUCCUAUUUCGCUUCCAUUGUAAUUGAAAAGAAGACUCAGUGACUGGAAUGGAGCUGUUGAGCAGACAUCAAAGGCGAACCAAGUAGAAAGGUUUAUCGACCAGAAGAUAAGAGUGGCUGUCUAGGUAAGCAACGAAGAAGGUGAGAAUGAUGUCAAUGGCAAAGAAGCCA
Molecule: non-coding RNA, 404 nt
Organism: Camelina sativa (false flax)
Lineage: Eukaryota; Viridiplantae; Streptophyta; Magnoliopsida; Brassicales; Brassicaceae
Source: RefSeq, a predicted model, not a curated record